Triticum dicoccoides is the source of this 2565-nucleotide long non-coding RNA. RefSeq lists it as uncharacterized. The record is from RefSeq and is a predicted model, not a curated record. The transcript is spliced from 12 exons. Lineage: Eukaryota; Viridiplantae; Streptophyta; Magnoliopsida; Poales; Poaceae.
GCCUCCCUCCCUCCCUCACUGGCUCCUAAUCCGGCGGCAGCGGUGGCGGCUGCCGCGCCCACGCCCGUCUGCUCCCAGCAGCCAUCACCUCCUUCGUCCGGCUGGCGACCCAUGCCGCGUCCGUCUGCUCCGCCCGCACUCAUGCCGCCCCCUCUCCUCUUCCUCCCGCCUCACCUCUCUCCCCCUCCUAAAGACCAAACCCUAACACCCCGCCCCGACCCUGGCUCCCGCCGGAGGGAAGGAGGAACGGCGAGGCGAGGCAAAGGUGGCGGCGUUGGGGACGCAACAUCCCCUCCAAGAGCCUCGGAAAGCAAAUGGGGAAGCUGCUGCGGGUUCUUCGACCUCCCCUGCCUCAUCUCGUCUCUGUAGGUGCAGCAUGUAGAUCGGCCAGAGGAGGUGGAUGUGGAGGAGCAGGCCAACACCCCUCCCUCUUCACCUCCCACCCAGCACUGGAUACUAUUGUGAGAUGGUCUGAUACAUGAAAGACAGGCUCAAGUCCCUCUAGGGAAGCAUCCAGUAUCCCUGUUCUACUGAUUUCGCCGGAACGUCGAACUAUGCUCCACCUGAGAGCACUGGAGCAAUCACAUCAUGAGAGGGUCAACAGACGACAAUCCGACAUGUGUCACCGACAGUGAAGGAAGCUGCCAUUCUACAGAAAGAACAAUCAUUCGAGCUACCCAUGAUGUGAGAGCGACAAGCAACCGUGAACCAUUGCACAUCAGCAACAAAAGAGAGAAACACCACUAUGCUAACAAGCGAAAGGUUCAAGCCGACAGGACUUUGACACGGGGACCACAUCCCAUUGGUUAUGACAAUUAGACCCAUUAGUCAGAAUCUGUUCAGAUAUCAUCAUCUAUAAAGAUAUUAUGUACUGGUGAUUUGAUCCAUUGUGCCACUCAUACUUCACCUAUUUGGAUCAUUUAGCUCGAGCAAUUUGCACAAUCUUAUUCUUACACAAAAGAUAUGACAUAAAGAAAGCUGAGCCACUGCACAUGGGGAAAUAGAAGAUGAUCCUAUAUGUUUGGCUAGCCUGAGUGACACGAUAAGUUCCUGAGAGCCCUGUGUCAAAACAGAGUAAGGUUGCAAAGAAAUGCAAGACAAAUAACAUGAAAAUCUGCUAGAGAGCACUAGAGUUCCAACAACAAAGGAAACAACUGACUCACUAUUUGCUCCAUCAGUACAGAAUCUGUACAAUGCAAAUGGAACGCUACUGUUGCUUUCGAAAUGCUAUUGGAUCUUAUAAAGAUUUUUGGACCUGUUAUUCAUUCAACAUUGUCAGCUAGCUCACUCUUUGGAGUAGAACUUCAAGCCGAACAGAGGUAUGCUCUCCAACUUUACUCGGGGAAGGGAACUGGGUGUUGCUAAGAGAAAUGUUUUAAAAACUUGUGUUGCUACAAGCCACUCAGGAACUCGGUCUGAGGUGACGAGUUGGUCGCGUACUUAUGUUUUGCUUAUACUGGUCCUGUCCCUCAUAAGGGUGUGUAUCAAGUGUUUCCCAAUUUAGUUCUGGCAUGUUGAGUCCAUGGACAAGUAUGGAUUAUUCUCUUUAGCUUUAGCCAAUUUAGGAGACAACCGCUGUUUUCCUGUACAUUUGCAUAUAGUUUCAGUCGCUAUGAUAGUAAACUUGCUCUCAACGACUCCGAUCUUACAAAAUGUUAGGUCUCCUUAGUUCCAAAUAUGGUUUUACAGGUCUAAAAUUAUUUCUUUGAUGUGAGGUGCCAUGCUGUGGAUAACAUGGAGAUUAUCAAGGCGGAGCGGCGGUGAGUAUGGAGCUCAUAAUCAUCAGUUCAUCACCAUGAAGCGGAAGAAAUGGUAUAGCUUUGCCACGCUGGACUUUGGCAGCCGCCGCUCCUCGGCAAUCAACGGGAGGUACAGCCGCUGCCACCACUCCUUCGCAGUGACGCAGGCCAGUGACAAGGAGGCUCGCAAUGGUGGGGGACGCAUCACCAUCUGCCGGAGAGGAGAAAGGCAUUCCUACCCCUUAACGAUUGAAAUGUAGGUCCAGGGAAAACAUCUGCACUACUGUUGGGCCAAUUGAUGCUAGGUGUACAUUGAGAUGUUUCAGAAAAAUAGAUCCUUGAUGCUGGACAUAGUGCAAUGGUGAGAUCCACUUAUUUAUGAUGGCGAGGAUGAUUGUUGGGCUGGCAUGUGGAGCUGUACUAAUAAGCUAUGAGAAGGUCCUCACAUCACAACACCCGAGCAAGUCUGGCAAGGCUUGCUCGCCAUGGCCUACCACAUCGGCGAGACGGGGCGAGCACGUGAUCACCAUCAGCAGGUCCUUCGUCACAACACCCGAGUGAGCGAGAUGUUCAGACAAAGUUAUAUGAUACACUGCUAUUGACAUAUGUUGUAGAUGGAUGGUACAUAUCGUUUCUCUCCAUGUUACAAUUUUUGUGACCUCGGCAUUUGGAAGACAUGUCAUCUGAAUUGUCUAUCAUAACUGAACCAUUACUAUCACAAGCAUCUUACUUUUAGAAAUUCAUAUGAUGGUUCAGUUAUCUAUAUUAUGUGUGCCAUCUGUUACCUCUGAAAUAUAUAUUAUGUGUGCCCUGUCGUGUUGGUUUA